This is a long non-coding RNA of Leopardus geoffroyi (Geoffroy's cat), 792 nucleotides long. RefSeq lists it as uncharacterized. The record is from RefSeq and is a predicted model, not a curated record. Lineage: Eukaryota; Metazoa; Chordata; Mammalia; Carnivora; Felidae. The transcript has 3 exons.
ACGCUCUACCGAUCUGGAGCAUUCUAGGAAUCAGACCCAGAUUGUUAGCACAGGUUUGGUCUGAAGUGUAUUCAGCUAGCAUCAUAUUAGUGCUUCCUAACUGCUUGCAUCCAAGCACUUGCUAUGGCUAGCUUAUACUAACUUUUUAUACAUACUAACUAAUUAUCAUCACAACUUUACAAGGAAAGUAUUACCCCAUUUCCCAGAUGGGAAAACCGAGGCUCAGAGUGGUUUCUCAAGGUCAUUCAAUUAACAAGGAAAUGAAGUAGGACAUAAUUAUCUCUAGACUUCUAACCUCAAGCAAUAAACAUUACUUAAUCAUCAGUCUGGGGCUGCUCUGGUUGAAAGGACCACAGUGGUCUCGGUGAACACCGACAGCUCCUUUCCCUUCUAGGCCGCCAGAGUCACUGCGUUAUUUGUUCCUAGUGAGGCAACGGCAAGGGGAUUGUGGCAGGUCACUGGCCUCUGAUGCAGGCUCCCCAUUAGAUUGAUCAGAGAGCCACCAGAUGAAUCCAAGCCUUGAACUGACACAGCGGUGGGGCUGGCACACAGCCUCUGAACUUUUGCCCUGAUUACAAGGAGUUACACCAGGUUCCUCGGUUACACAACCUGAUGGACAAGAUGCCCACGUUCUGCUGAGCUGGUGCUACAGAGCCCUGCUCACAGUCCUGUCUCUGGUGAUCUGGUAGAUCAGGCAAUGAGGAUUUUACCUAAGAUGCUUUACACUGAGAAUUGGCUUUGUUGGCAACCUAAUCAUGGCACCUGAAACUUAAACUCGACGGUGAAGUCCGU